UACGUAGGGUGCGAGCGUUAAUCGGAAUUACUGGGCGUAAAGCGUGCGCAGGCGGUUUUGUAAGCCAGGUGUGAAAUCCCCGGGCUCAACCUGGGAAUGGCAUUUGGGACUGCAAGGCUGGAGUGCGGCAGAGGAGACUGGAAUUCCUGGUGUAGCAGUGAAAUGCGUAGAUAUCAGGAGGAACACCGAUGGCGAAGGCAGGUCUCUGGGCUGACACUGACGCUCAUGCACGAAAGCGUGGGGAGCGAA
RNAcentral lists this ribosomal RNA (249 nucleotides) under uncultured bacterium. Its description in RNAcentral is "partial 16S ribosomal RNA". It matches the Rfam family "Bacterial small subunit ribosomal RNA", at positions 524 to 772 of the family's 1533-position model. The record is from RNAcentral.